AGGCCUUCGGGUUGUAAAGCACUUYCAGUCGUGAGGAAGGCGGGUACGUUAAUAGCGUAUUCGUUUGACGUUAGCGACAGAAGAAGCACCGGCUAACUCCGUGCCAGCAGCCGCGGUAAUACGGAGGGUGCGAGCGUUAAUCGGAAUUACUGGGCGUAAAGCGCAUGCAGGUGGAUGAUUAAGUCAGAUGUGAAAGCCCGGGGCUCAACCUCGGAACAGCAUUUGAAACUGGUCAUCUAGAGUACUGUAGAGGGGGGUAGAAUUUCAGGUGUAGCGGUGAAAUGCGUAGAGAUCUGAAGGAAUACCGGUGGCGAAGGCGGCCCCCUGGACAGAUACUGACACUCAGAUGCGAAAGCGUGGGGAGCAAACAGGAUUAGAUACCCUGGUAGUCCACGCCGUAAACGAUGUCUACUUGGAGGUUGUGGCCUUGAGCCGUGGCUUUCGGAGCUAACGCGUUAAGUAGACCGCCUGGGGAGUACGGUCGCAAGAUUAAAACUCAAAUGAAUUGACGGGGGCCCGCACAAGCGGUGGAGCAUGUGGUUUAAUUCGAUGCAACGCGAAGAACCUUACCUACUCUUGACAUCCUCAGAAGAGACUGGAGACAGUCUUGUGCCUUCGGGAACUGAGAGACAGGUGCUGCAUGGCUGUCGUCAGCUCGUGUUGUGAAAUGUUGGGUUAAGUCCCGCAACGAGCGCAACCCUUAUCCUUGUUUGCCAGCAC
Molecule: ribosomal RNA, 720 nt
Filed under: uncultured bacterium
Lineage: Bacteria
Description: bacterial SSU rRNA
Rfam family: Bacterial small subunit ribosomal RNA
Source: RNAcentral